Molecule: ribosomal RNA, 253 nt
Filed under: uncultured bacterium
Lineage: Bacteria
Description: partial 16S ribosomal RNA
Rfam family: Bacterial small subunit ribosomal RNA
Source: RNAcentral
UACGGAGGGAGCUAGCGUUGUUCGGAAUUACUGGGCGUAACGCGCGCGUAGGCGGCUUUGUAAGUUAGAGGUGAAAGCCCGGGGCUCAACCCCGGAACUGCCUUUAAGACUGCAUCGCUUGAAUCCGGGAGAGGUGAGUGGAAUUCCGAGUGUAGAGGUGAAAUUCGUAGAUAUUCGGAAGAACACCAGUGGCGAAGGCGGCUCACUGGACCGGCAUUGACGCUGAUGUGCGAAAGCGUGGGGAGCAAACAGG